Long non-coding RNA from Leptopilina boulardi, 2014 nucleotides. RefSeq lists it as uncharacterized. The record is from RefSeq and is a predicted model, not a curated record. NCBI's taxonomy places the organism in Eukaryota, Metazoa, Arthropoda, Insecta, Hymenoptera, Figitidae. The transcript is spliced from 5 exons.
UGUACAAGUGACGCAUUGUUGUCCAGAUACAGCGCCCUACAAGAAUGUAAAACGUAUUUUGAAUUUGUAAUUGUUGAAGAAGCUCUGCCAUUAGCAUUUGAAUAACUAGAGAAAUUCUUCCUCGAUCAUUACCUUUUAACUCCAUCAACCUACACCAACACAAGUUUAAGUCAAAGGAAUUGGAUAUAAUAUAAACAACAACUUGAACCCUCAAACUGUUCUAUUUAAGCAUCCGGCUGUUAAAAAUCACUAGGUUUUCAACUAAAAAUAGAAUCAACAGUUAUUGAAACAUCAUCAUGGUUUCAAAUUGGUCCAGCACCUGAAUCCUAAUUCUAUCAUCGAAAAAGCAUAUCUACAUUCUGAAUAUUUCACCAACAUUUGCAAAUUUUUUAGGAUUCGAAUUUUUGUAGACGUUGUACAAGUGACGCAUUGUUGUCCAGAUACUGCGCGCUACAAGAAUGUAAACGGUAUCUUGAAUUUGUAAUUGUUGAAGAAGAUCUGCCAUUAGCAUUUGAAUAACUAGAGAAAUUCUUCCUCGAUCAUUACCUGUUAACUCCAUCAACUUACACCAACACAAGUUUAAGUCAAAGGAUUUGGAUAUGAUAUAAACUACAACUUGAACCCUCAAGCUAUUCUAUUUAAGCAUCCGGCUGUUAAAAAUCACUAGGUUAUCAACUAAAAAUGGAAUCAACAGUUAUUGAGACAUCAUCAUGGUUUCAAAUAGGUCCAGCACCUGAAUCCUAAUCCUAUCAUCGAAAAAGCAUAUCUACAUUCUGAAUAUUUCACCAACAUUUGCAAAUUUUUUAGGAUUCGAAUUCUUGUAGACGUUGUACAAGUGACGCAUUGUUGUCCAGAUACUGCGCGCUACAAGAAUGUAAACGGUAUCUUGAAUUUGUAAUUGUUGAAGAAGAUCUGCCAUUAGCAUUUGAAUAACUAGAGAAAUUCUUCCUCGAUCAUUACCUGUUAACUCCAUCAACUUACACCAACACAAGUUUAAGUCAAAGGAUUUGGAUAUGAUAUAAACUACAACUUGAACCCUCAAGCUGUUCUAUUUAAGCAUCCGGCUGUUAAAAAUCUCUAGGUUAUCAACUAAAAAUAGAAUCAACAGUUAUUGAGACAUCAUCAUGGUUUCAAAUUGGUCCAGCCCCUGAAUCCUAAUCCUAUCAUCGAAAAAGCAUAUCUACAUUCUGAAUAUUUCACCAACAUUUGCAAAUUUUUUAGGAUUCGAAUUCUUGUAGACGUUGUACAAGUGACGCAUUGUUGUCCAGAUACUGCGCGCUACAAGAAUGUAAAACGUAUUUUGAAUUUGUAAAUGUUGAAGAUGAUUUGUCAACUGCUUUUUCAAAAUUAGACGAAAUCCUGUAUAUAAUUAUCAUCCUUUUAUUCUAUCCAUCUCUUCUAAUCCAAGUCAUUUAGAAAGAAAUAAUAACUGAAAGUCGUACGACAAAACUACCCUGUUUCAAUUGUUAGGGUUUAUAAAUCUCUAUACUCUCAACGGAACUGGAAAGAAUUCAAUAUUGAUUCAACAUCGAAUACUAGAUUACAAAUAAGUUCCUUCUUUUGAAUCCUUUUUCUGGCCAAAGCGUUACAAUUUUUUACUCUUAAAUCAAUUUUGUGUUACAGAAUUCUGUGUAAUAGUAAUAUUAAUUCUAAUUCUCUUUUUUCUGUAGUACAGAGAAAAGAUAGUUGACUAGUUGCAGUUUAUUUAAAAUUUCAAAAAGUUGCUUUUCCUCCUUACAUUUUAAAUAAAAUUUAAAUUCUUGUACAGAUUGUAAGCUGAAUACAUAAUUAGCUGGUUAUUGUUUGAUACAAGAAUGCAAAACCAAAUCUAAAAUAUCUCGAUGUUGUCAAGUUCUUUAAGCUGCUCGCACAAGAAAAUUUGUUGCAGUAUGUUGGAUGCGUUUGAAAUUAGAUAGAGAAGGACAGAACGAUAUUGUCUUUUUUAUCUCAUGUGAAACGUAUUCCUGCAAGCUGUAACGUAUUUUCUUGUGUGAAUGGCUUUACAUGGUAUGGU